RNAcentral lists this ribosomal RNA (770 nucleotides) under uncultured Neocallimastigales. Its description in RNAcentral is "partial large subunit ribosomal RNA". It matches the Rfam family "Eukaryotic large subunit ribosomal RNA", at positions 18 to 634 of the family's 3401-position model. The record is from RNAcentral. Lineage: Eukaryota; Fungi; Neocallimastigomycota; Neocallimastigomycetes; Neocallimastigales.
UCAGACGAUGCGUCAUGCAUAUCAAUAAGCGGAGGAAAAGAAACUAACAAGGAUUCCCUCAGUAACGGCGAGUGAAGCGGGAAGAGCUCAAAUUUGAAAUCUUGAAAGGUCACCUUUCACGAAUUGUAGUUUAAAGAAGUGUUUUCUGUUACGAUCGUAAUAUAGUUCUUUGGAAUAGGACAUCACAGAGGGUGAGAAUCCCGUCUAUGAUUGCGAUUUGUAGCUUUGUGAUACACUUUCAAAGAGUCGGGUUGUUUGGGAAUGCAGCCCAAAACGGGAGGUAAAUUUCUUCUAAGGCUAAAUAUUGGCGAGAGACCGAUAGCGAACAAGUACCGUGAGGGAAAGAUGAAAAGAACUUUGAAAAGAGAGUUAAAUAGUACGUGAAAUUGUCAAAAGGGAAGCGUUUAACACCAGUGUUGUUUUCUGAAAAUCAACCUCUGUUAGCUUUAUGCAUGUUUGUUUAGACCUAAUCAGCUAUCUUGCAUGUUCUAUUGUUUGCAGUGGUGCACUUUUCAGUUUACAGGUCAACAUCAGUUUUUUUUACCGUAAAAAAGUUAAAGAAAGGUAGCUCAUGGCUCCGGUCGUGAGUGUUAUAGUCUUUUUCCUAUGCGGUAGGAGAGACUGAGGUCUGCAGUGUAGGCUAUUUGGCUAGAUACUCAGGUGCUAUGUGAUACCAUUUCAUAAACAACUUGUUGACUAUGUUUUGUCUAUUGCAUACUCGCUUGCACUAUCAUACCUACGCUUAGGAUGUUGAAGACUCUACAGAGAUA